UUACUAUGGAGAGUUUGAUCCUGGCUCAGGAUGAACGCUAGCGGCAGGCUUAAUACAUGCAAGUCGAACGGCAGCACAGUGUAGCAAUACAUGGGUGGCGAGUGGCGCACGGGUGCGUAACACGUAUGCAAUUUGCCAAUAACUGGGGGAUAGCCUUCCGAAAGGAAGAUUAAUACCCCAUAACAUAAUGAAGAGGCAUCUCUUUAUUAUUAAAUCUCCGGAGGUUAUUGAUGAGCAUGCGUCCGAUUAGCUAGUUGGUGAGGUAACGGCUCACCAAGGCAACGAUCGGUAGGGGGUCUGAGAGGAUGAUCCCCCACACGGGUACUGAGACACGGACCCGACUCCUACGGGAGGCAGCAGUAAGGAAUAUUGGACAAUGGAGGCAACUCUGAUCCAGCCAUGCCGCGUGAAGGAUGAAGGCGCUACGCG
This 429-nucleotide ribosomal RNA is filed under the name Bacteroidota bacterium. RNAcentral's name for it is "bacterial SSU rRNA". It matches the Rfam family "Bacterial small subunit ribosomal RNA", at positions 1 to 422 of the family's 1533-position model. Lineage: Bacteria; Pseudomonadati; Bacteroidota. The record is from RNAcentral.